Molecule: long non-coding RNA, 767 nt
Organism: Gadus chalcogrammus (walleye pollock)
Lineage: Eukaryota; Metazoa; Chordata; Actinopteri; Gadiformes; Gadidae
Exons: 3
Source: RefSeq, a predicted model, not a curated record
CCCCCUCCCCCGCCUGCCCCAUCGACAGAGACACGAGCCAGCACACACACCUCCCACAAGAAGCACCCUAACCCUGUCGCUGACAACAAGCGAAGAGAGGAGCAUGGGUCGAAACCAGAACUCUUCCCAAGGGGAACCAAUCCGUUCGCUACGGUAAAGCUGAAGCCCACAACCACCAAUGACAAGUCAAAGCCAAAACUUCACCGAAGAUGAACUUCAAUGAUCAGCAGUAGCCUCUUAGCAUGGCUACAAUAUAAAUAUUCACAAUUAAUAUAUAGUUGUAGAGAGUGUUAUGCAAAAAAUGACUGUGAAGUUCAUGUAUUUCAAGUAUUUUCAACUGAUUUCCAAGAACUUAAUUGAAGCAGUUGCUUGUAUUUGUGUAUGUAUGCAUAGUCAAUCAGUGGCUAUAGGGCUUGUACAUUGUGACGUCACAUCACAAUUACCACCUCCAUUUUGGAAGAAUAGAAGCAUAAUAUUGUUAACGGUAGUGUUUUGGUCAUUGUUUAUUAAUUAAUUUCUAAGUAUUUUUCAUGUGGUGUUCCUCAUGUGAGAUGUGGCAAAACAAUCUGAUUAGCUUCGGAAACAAUAUAUUUAUGUUUAUUUUGGAUUUUACAUUACGACUCUCUUGAGUACUCUCGAAAGGUCAGAAUAUCGCCAACAAAAUAAUCCCAUGAUGCCUUCUGAUGUACAAGCCCUAUUGAAAUUCAAAAGAAUUAAAGCCUAUUGAAAAUAAACAUGUCAUUAGUUAUGUCUAUGAUUUGUGUAAA